Molecule: ribosomal RNA, 512 nt
Filed under: Microbacterium sp. EP_R_78
Lineage: Bacteria; Bacillati; Actinomycetota; Actinomycetes; Micrococcales; Microbacteriaceae
Description: bacterial SSU rRNA
Rfam family: Bacterial small subunit ribosomal RNA
Source: RNAcentral
UGCCGGCGUGCUUACCAUGCAGUCGACGGUGAAGCCAAGCUUGCUUGGUGGAUCAGUGGCGAACGGGUGAGUAACACGUGAGCAACCUGCCCUGGACUCUGGGAUAAGCGCUGGAAACGGCGUCUAAUACUGGAUAUGAGACGUGAUCGCAUGGUCGUGUUUGGAAAGAUUUUUCGGUCUGGGAUGGGCUCGCGGCCUAUCAGCUUGUUGGUGAGGUAAUGGCUCACCAAGGCGUCGACGGGUAGCCGGCCUGAGAGGGUGACCGGCCACACUGGGACUGAGACACGGCCCAGACUCCUACGGGAGGCAGCAGUGGGGAAUAUUGCACAAUGGGCGGAAGCCUGAUGCAGCAACGCCGCGUGAGGGAUGACGGCCUUCGGGUUGUAAACCUCUUUUAGCAGGGAAGAAGCGAAAGUGACGGUACCUGCAGAAAAAGCGCCGGCUAACUACGUGCCAGCAGCCGCGGUAAUACGUAGGGCGCAAGCGUUAUCCGGAAUUAUUGGGCGUAAAGA